AAUGAACGCUGGCGGCGUGGAUUAGGCAUGCAAGUCGAACGCCAAAGCAGGGGCAACUCUGCGAGUAGCGUGGCGAAAGGGUGAGUAAUGCUUGGAUGACCUGCCUUCGAGACGGGGACAACAGUUCGAAAGGACUGCUAAUACCCGAUGGUCCGUUCCGGAUUCGUCCGGGCCGGUAAAUGGUUGAUUCCGCUCGAUGAGGGGUCCAAGUCCUAUCAGCUAGUUGGUGAGGUAACGGCUCACCAAGGCUUUGACGGGUAGGCGGACUGAGAGGUCGACCGCCCACAUCGGGACUGAGACACUGCCCGGACUCCUACGGGAGGCUGCAGUCGAGAAUCUUCUGCAAUGGGCGCAAGCCUGACAGAGCGACGCCGCGUGGAGGACGAAGGCCCUCGGGUUGUAAACUCCUGUCACACGUUAUGAAAUGUACGGGUUACACCCGUGCACUGACAAAGGCGUGGGAGGAAGUCACGGCUAACUUCGUGCCAGCAGCCGCGGUAAGACGAAGGUGGCUAGCGUUAUUCGGAUUCACUGGGCAUAAAGCGCGCGUAGGCGGCUCUUCAAGUCGGUGGUGAAAGCCCGCAGCUCAACUGCGGAACAGCCGUCGAUACUGUCGAGCUUGAGUGCAGGAGGGGUGAUCGGAACUCCAGGUGUAGCGGUGAAAUGCGUAGAUAUCUGGAGGAACACCGGAGGCGAAGGCGGAUCACUGGACUGCCACUGACGCUGAGGCGCGAAAGCUAGGGGAGCAAACAGGAUUAGAUACCCUGGUAGUCCUAGCUGUAAACGAUGGGUACUAGGCAGCGGGGGCCCGAUGCUCUCGCUGUCGAAGCGAAUGUGCUAAGUACCCCGCCUGGGGAGUACGGCCGCAAGGCUG
RNAcentral lists this ribosomal RNA (874 nucleotides) under uncultured bacterium. RNAcentral's name for it is "bacterial SSU rRNA". It matches the Rfam family "Bacterial small subunit ribosomal RNA", at positions 28 to 896 of the family's 1533-position model. The record is from RNAcentral.